UUUGAAAAAGCCCCAGGUUUUAGGUUUAAAAUUGAAUUAUUCAUCACUCAUUAAUACUAUUUAUGUUUUGUCGGCCAUCUUGUUGUCAUGCGUGUUGUCCCGCGUGAUUUACGCGAAUAAUGUUCCACCCCAUGUUCCCCGGGGAACAUGGGGUGGAACAUUGUCAAAAGGAACGCAGGCUCGCUAAUUGAUGACGUAAGGCGUGAUAUCGCGAUUAAUUUCAUGCUUACGUGGCACAAACUAAGCUUCCUGAUUGGA
Molecule: non-coding RNA, 258 nt
Organism: Paramuricea clavata
Lineage: Eukaryota; Metazoa; Cnidaria; Anthozoa; Malacalcyonacea; Plexauridae
Source: the annotation of a GenBank genome assembly